AAAAAAAAAAAAAAGGGAGCCUUAGAUUCAUUCACAUUUCAUUGGGAGAUAUAACAAGCACUCUAAAAUAUGGUAUUACUGUUCUUGACAUAUGUUUCUUCUUCCUUUCAAAAUUAAUUAAGUAAUCCUUCCUCAUUUAAAAAUAUCCAAGACUAUACUCAAUAGGUGAUCAUUAGCUCGGUAAACACAUUGAUCCUUACAUUUAAUGAAGCUAUCGCAUUGCUAAGUAGAAGAUCCUCCUUAGUCCUUACAAAUAAAUACCUAUGCACUGACUUAUGCACAUGGAUUUUUAAGCUAUUCCAAAUGACUAAAAGAAACCUAAAAAUUUUUCUCAUGAAAUUUUCUUGAAGAUUGGACUACCUUCAAAAGGAAUUCUUUGAAU
Molecule: unclassified non-coding RNA, 382 nt
Filed under: Hevea brasiliensis (rubber tree)
Lineage: Eukaryota; Viridiplantae; Streptophyta; Magnoliopsida; Malpighiales; Euphorbiaceae
Source: RNAcentral